This 479-nucleotide ribosomal RNA is filed under the name uncultured anaerobic ammonium-oxidizing bacterium. Its description in RNAcentral is "bacterial SSU rRNA". It matches the Rfam family "Bacterial small subunit ribosomal RNA", at positions 364 to 833 of the family's 1533-position model. The record is from RNAcentral.
UUUCGCAAUGCCCGAAAGGGUGACGAAGCGACGCCGCGUGAGUGAGGAAGGCCUUCGGGUUGUAAAGCUCUGUCAGGAGUUAAGAAAUAUAAGUGUGCUAAUACCACAUUUAUUUGACGAAGGCUCCAAAGGAAGCCACGGCUAACUCUGUGCCAGCAGCCGCGGUAAUACAGAGGUGGCAAGCGUUGUUCGGAAUUAUUGGGCGUAAAGAGCACGUAGGUGGGUUUGUAAGUCAGAUGUGAAAGCCUUCUGUUCAACGGAAGAAUUGCAUCUGAAACUGCGAGUCUUGAGUGUAGGAGGGGAGAAUGGAACUUCUGGUGGAGCGGUGAAAUGCGUAGAUAUCAGAAGGAACGCCGGCGGCGAAAGCGAUUCUCUGGCCUAUUACUGACACACAGUGUGCGAAAGCUAGGGGAGCAAACGGGAUUAGAUACCCCGGUAGUCCUAGCCGUAAACGAUGGGCACUAAGUAGAGGGGUUUUA